AGAAGCAAGGGUCCAGCUUUAUUGUUUCAUUCCACCACACGAGAUCCACACCGAUGAGAAUUCUCAAAAGUGAUCCCUCUACCCUGAGCUUAAGCUCCAGUAUUUAUACUGUAUUUACACACUAGAUAACCCAUAGGUUUCCAGAAAAGGCCUAUUUCACUUACCCAUAGAAUUGAAACCAGGGGUUUUAAUUUACACAUAAAAUCAGAACCCAGGCAUUUCCAACAACCCAGGAAACAAAAACCCAGAGUUUCUAGUUACCUAGGUGGUCAGAAACCAGGAUUCUCAAUUCCCUAGGUAAAAAAAAUGACGUAGACAAGACGACUAAACAACCGGGAGGGACCUUGGUCUUAUCAGUUUCUAGUUACCUAGGUGGUCAGAAACCAGGAUUCUCA
Long non-coding RNA from Ictalurus punctatus (channel catfish), 395 nucleotides. NCBI's taxonomy places the organism in Eukaryota, Metazoa, Chordata, Actinopteri, Siluriformes, Ictaluridae. The record is from Ensembl.